This 216-nucleotide ribosomal RNA is filed under the name uncultured bacterium. Its description in RNAcentral is "partial 16S ribosomal RNA". It matches the Rfam family "Bacterial small subunit ribosomal RNA", at positions 1285 to 1500 of the family's 1533-position model. The record is from RNAcentral.
GUCUCAGUUCAGAUUGCAGGCUGCAACUCGCCUGCAUGAAGUCGGAAUUGCUAGUAAUCGCAGAUCAGCAUGCUGCGGUGAAUACGUUCCCGGGCCUUGUACACACCGCCCGUCACACCAUGGGAGUCGGUAACACCCGAAGUCGGUAGCCUAACCGUAAGGAGGGCGCCGCCGAAGGUGGGAUUGAUGACUGGGGUGAAGUCGUAACAAGGUAGC